Molecule: long non-coding RNA, 3458 nt
Organism: Lynx canadensis (Canada lynx)
Lineage: Eukaryota; Metazoa; Chordata; Mammalia; Carnivora; Felidae
Source: Ensembl
AUUACAUAUUAAACACUGUGUUUUCAAAACUAAAUGAUAAAUCUGGACCCUUAAAGGAGGCACAAAAGAAUCCGAGCGAGAGAGGAGGGGAUGCUAAGAAACAAAACAAGAGACGGCAAAAGGAAGAUAAUCAGAUAAAAAGAAAAGAGAACGUAGGAAAUGCAAUUGGGAAAGAAUUUCAAGAAAAUAAGGAUAAAGGGCUGGGAGGGCUGACAGGAGGGCAAGAAGGAGGGAGGAAAGGAAGGGUUUGGGGUUUUUAAUUCCCUGGCGAGGCUGCUGGCGUCCGCGCCCUUAACGCCACAGCCUUCCAAGUUGAGGCGAAAGCCACCUCCUCGGGCCUGCGUCGCAUCCAACUUACUCCAAGUUUUCUGGUGACUCCUACAGGGCCCCUUUCCGUCCCCGCCCCCCCCCCCCCCUUAGAGAGAUUGACAGUCGCGUGGAGGAGGCUUUUCCAGGCACAGCCUUUCUCAUGGUAAUCAGCCCCCAGCAUCACCUCCCGGCUGCGGCCGCUCCCGCUCCUUGCGCAGCUCGCGGACCCCGGGGACCGGAAACGGGGCGGCGGGCGGGGAGCAAGCUAGCUAGCGACCCAGGCUCAACUCCGAAUGGAUUGGAUUGCAAGUUUGCACAUCGGGAAGGAACGAUUCAUUUGCAGGACUUGUUUUGCUGUGUGAGGAGACGAAAGCACCAGUCCUCUCUCGACUUUUCCCUGCGCCCAGCCCUCCUGCAUCCCGCUGAUCCCACGAUCACCAUUGUCCCCGACCUGGCCUUCGGACUCAGGGAGUGUUCGGAACAAAUUUAUAUUCGGCUUCCUCCCGUCUCCCCGCCAGUGCGUCGAUGGGAACUCUCGGUCAAAUGAGGAGGGGAGUGCCAGGGGCGUGCCAGGCAGGGGCGGGGGGCAACCUGCCCGCGCGCUCACCCCUCGCAGAAACCCUUCCCUUGCCCUCAUCCCAACAUACACCUUAAUGGGAACCUGAAAGAUUGCUUUUUUACCCCAAACCAAAUACUUGAAAGUCGGAACUCCCAGUGCUAAGUGUUGGGGCUGCCUCCUGCCACUUGAACAAUUACUGAGCCCACAGUAAUCAGAUGAUUAGGUGUUUUUAAUGGAAAUACUUCAGUCUUUUUUUUUUUUUUAAGUCAGAUCCUAAGUAACCUGACACUAAUAUACAUAAUAAAGACAAGUGAUUUGUUAGCCCUUCUCUGAGAUCCUUUGACCUGAGGUUUUUGCCUGUGACUGUGUGUCUGAGACUGUAACCCUCCAAGGACUACCUGGGCUCCAGCAGUGGGGUCUUGCCUGGAAUCACUCCUUUGCAGUGGGAUCCUUCUUCCAUGGGAAUGGGAGAGGAGAGGCUGAAGAGCAAACUUCUAGAGAAAGCUGGAUUCCAUUUUUUUUUUAAUAAAAAGGAGGGGGAAGUGGGAAGAGGAAGAAAAAAAGACAUUAAUAAUACAGCUAAAUCUCAGGGGAGGAACUUGAUAAGUCAGACAUAUAUUUAAUAUAAAUAUGUACUAUUAAAAGCAAUGUAAAACUAAAAUUUUAAAUAUUUCUAACCCAUAUUGGAAAUCAUUAAUUUUCUUUUUUUACAAUUAACUUUAGAAUGAUGAUCUUGAAUGCUCCUCUUCUGUAGGUAAAUUAUCUGUAAUGGUGUGGGGGAGAAAAUUAAUUUACGUAGCUAUUCUCAUUGUAAUAAAGAAUCAAGUUAAGAAAGAGAUGAGUCUGUAAACAACUGUGAAAUUUUACUUUUUUUCAUCUUAAAGUAAGAUGUGGCUGUGGUCAUGCUAGAUGGUUAUUUCCCUCCCCCCAAAUAUGCAAAAUAGAAAGACUUGCACCUCUGGGACUAUGGAUGUGGCAACCCAAGUGGUGGCUUUUCCCUCCUCUGCGUGCAAUUGCAAGUGACUCCUGCAUUCAAAGUCUUGCUUUAGGCACACAUUCAAAGCACAAUUCAAAGCAGUUUAUCUUAAUAUAAGUAAAAGUCUAGUGUUGGAUCAGGGUAUUAUUUGUUUCAGAUUUCAUCAGACUGAAAACAGAGGGCUGUGACACUGAACAAUAUUAAAGCAGAAAAACUGGUGGUGAGGUGGUUUAAUCCUCCUGACACCUCCACCUUUACCUUUGCAAGGAAGUCCAAAGGCUGUUGGGACUGGAAGUUUAUUUUGUGCUCUGAGGUUCUCAAGCACUUUCACUCUUAAGAAAAAAAAAAAAAAGUCUCACAGUUCUUUAAGAAAUUGAGCCUGAACCAUUGGAGGCUAAGAGAUUUCUUCCUUUUCCGAUAAAUGCCUGUGCUCAGCAUCCUCAAAUUUGGCUGUCUUUAUUUACUUCUAUAUUAGUUCCAAUUACGUGCAGUGUAAACCAGCUUUUUGAUUAACAAAACAGCAGAGCAUUGGUUAAGAACACUUAAACUUCAAAAAAAAUUCCCCUGGGAAGUGGGCUCUGAAUCGGUUAAUAAUGUGCAGUACUUGCUAAAUUGCUGACUUCCAGAUGUGGAAAAUAUCUUUCUUGUUUAGGACCUAUGUAACCUGAUUGGAUUACGACAGAAGCGUCACGUUGGAAGCUUUUGAGUGAUUAUUUAAUUAACCAUACAGUAGAAAGCUGUAUUCUCCAGGAAAUCCCUUCCAUAUUUACAUAACCAAUCCCUUCAGAGCAAAGGUGGAGUCUUUUCUUUUUAAUUUUACUUUAAUUGCAAUAUCAGAAAAAUAUAUACUCCAAAACUUAGACCCCAUGCCGUUUAAUAUCAUACUCUUCCUUCCCUGCUAAGUCCCUCUAUGGCCUUUCUCCUUUUCCUCCUACACACACUCCCUCACUUUGUAGUGAGGUCUCCGUGAGAUGUAGAGAGAUUCAGAGAUCAGUCAACCCAGCGCUCUAUGUUAAUUUACUUAGAGACCCUUUUUAAAAAUGCCAAACUACUUUUUACCAUUGAGAUCCAAUCCAGAAAUUCAUCAUACACACACCCCAGCACACACACCCUAAGAUGUAGUUCACAUGCAGCAUUUUUUUUUCUGGCUCUGCCAUCCAAAAAGAAAAAUAAAAUAAAAUAAAAGAAGAAAAAGGGCAAAGAAUUUAGUUCCAGAAGACGUGCUGAGAAAUCCACACAACUUAAUGUGCAUCUCAAGUCUGGCCAUUAGAAAUAUCUGUAUAAGAAGAGGCGAUCUGGAUUAAGGACCCGGGAUCUUUCCCUUUAACUUUCGCCCCUUAGAGUUCUCCAGUUCUGUGAAUGGUGUGCACCGUUUUCCGCCCUGUACUCUGUAGGAUUUAGUGAUGAGGAUAAUGAUGCCAAAGGCUUGACGGGGGGGGGUGGGGGGGGGCGUGGAGAAGAGAGGGAGGGAGGGAGGGAGGCGAGAGGGAGGGAGAGAGGAAGGGAGGGAGGUGGAAUUUCAUUUCUUCCACUAAAGCGUUUGCGGAGACUUCAAGGUAUAAUCUAUCCCAGAUCCUUUCCCAGAGAGAAACUUGGCGAUCACGUUUUCACAUG